UACGUAGGUGGCAAGCGUUAUCCGGAUUUAUUGGGCGUAAAGAGAACGCAGGCGGUCUUUUAAGUCUGAUGUGAAAGCCUUCGGCUUAACCGGAGUAGUGCAUUGGAAACUGGGAGACUUGAGUGCAGAAGAGGAGAGUGGAACUCCAUGUGUAGCGGUGAAAUGCGUAGAUAUAUGGAAGAACACCAGUGGCGAAAGCGGCUCUCUGGUCUGCAACUGACGCUGAGGUUCGAAAGCGUGGGUAGCAAACAGG
Molecule: ribosomal RNA, 253 nt
Filed under: uncultured bacterium
Lineage: Bacteria
Description: partial 16S ribosomal RNA
Rfam family: Bacterial small subunit ribosomal RNA
Source: RNAcentral